UUUCUACUCCCUUCGUUCGGAAUUACUUGUCCAAGAAAUGAAUGUAUCUAGAUGUAUUUUAGUUAUAGAUACAUUCAUUUUUAUAACAAGUAAUUCCGAGUGAAGGAAGUACUUC
Molecule: non-coding RNA, 115 nt
Organism: Triticum aestivum (bread wheat)
Lineage: Eukaryota; Viridiplantae; Streptophyta; Magnoliopsida; Poales; Poaceae
Source: Rfam